Molecule: transfer RNA, 72 nt
Filed under: Ovis aries (sheep)
Lineage: Eukaryota; Metazoa; Chordata; Mammalia; Artiodactyla; Bovidae
Rfam family: tRNA
About the family: Transfer RNA (tRNA) molecules are approximately 80 nucleotides in length. Their secondary structure includes four short double-helical elements and three loops (D, anti-codon, and T loops). Further hydrogen bonds mediate the characteristic L-shaped molecular structure. tRNAs have two regions of fundamental functional importance: the anti-codon, which is responsible for specific mRNA codon recognition, and the 3' end, to which the tRNAs corresponding amino acid is attached (by aminoacyl-tRNA synthetases). tRNAs cope with the degeneracy of the genetic code in two manners: having more than one tRNA (with a specific anti-codon) for a particular amino acid; and 'wobble' base-pairing, i.e. permitting non-standard base-pairing at the 3rd anti-codon position.
Source: Rfam by way of RNAcentral
UCCCAGGUCAUUCAGGUGGUAAAAAAUCUGCCUGCAAUGCAGAAGAUCUAGAUUCAAUCCCUGGGUUGGGAA